This is a long non-coding RNA of Brassica oleracea var. oleracea, 254 nucleotides long. RefSeq lists it as uncharacterized. The record is from RefSeq and is a predicted model, not a curated record. The transcript is spliced from 3 exons. Lineage: Eukaryota; Viridiplantae; Streptophyta; Magnoliopsida; Brassicales; Brassicaceae.
CUGGAACCACAGCUCCACCAACAGCCACAGCAAGAAGCAGAUGAUGGAGUGAUGUGGAGGAGAUCACACGAGUUGUCAUGAUUAUGAAGGACGACAGAUGAGACAGAGAAUACAUAUGCGGUUGAUGAAUUUUGUGAUGUUGCAGGAAUUGAUGAAGCAGUUGACAAACUUCAAGAGGUGGUGUUUUCUAUUUGAAUUGGGAUGUACUACUUAGUAAAGCUUGGAGGCGAGGCGCGGAGGUUCAAUCACCGAAG